GCACACACUUGUACUCCUCAAGUAAUCGCUGUGUAACUUCCUCCUGUUCACUGGGCUCUACAUCUACCUUGAGAGAACCCACAUAGAUAACCUCAGUUUCAGGUGAAAACCCAUCCUUCAGUUGUAAUAAAAGUGAAUCCUCGUCCAAACUAAAGCACCACUUUUCAGCUGUUGUAUCCCUUUGAGCAUGCAAAGGCAGCAUGUUUGCAACAAUAAUCUUUCGCUCAUGACAAGCAGAUGACAUACUAUCUGAAUCGCCAUCAUUGCUGCGACAGCCAUCAGAAAUUAUCCCGGGAACAGUCAUCAUACGCGGAAGUGCUCUAGGAGUCUGAUGUAUAUCCAGUAUGUCCUCAGAUGCCAAGUCGAAAAAGUUUGCACUAGAUCUUGAUGCCAUGUAUCUGAAGUAGAACUUAGCUUACGUUAUAUCAUACAAGUUCUGCUGAGAUAUGUGAAACCAAAGGAAAGUGUGUCCCAGUAAUUGCUGAAUCAAAUUUUCCUGCAGUCUAUAAAACAUGCAAUUCCGAUGACCGGAAAACUAACGCUGACGUCACAAACCGAUGAAUUCCGAAGAGAUCAAGGUUAUCAGAUACAUAAAAUCUACAGCUAAAACCAAAAAACACCGAA
This 624-nucleotide unclassified non-coding RNA is filed under the name Hevea brasiliensis (rubber tree). Lineage: Eukaryota; Viridiplantae; Streptophyta; Magnoliopsida; Malpighiales; Euphorbiaceae. The record is from RNAcentral.